CAGAGUUUUGUUUUCGAAGGUAUGUCAUAGAUCUAGAUUAUGUCUUGGUGAGAGUUUUUAACAGUGAUUUGCAAGGAGGAACAUGUCCUUCAUGGGUUUGGGUUAGUUUGUUUCCUGGGUUUUUGGGUUUGGCUUCAUGGUAUGAGUAUCUGUUGCUUGUGCUUGUGAGUUGUUUAGUGUCUACUGUUUGAUCAACUUGGUUGCUAUGUGUUGAUAGAGAAAAUUACUUGUUUUGGCUAUUUGGUAUCUCUGGACUUGCUCAGUGAGCUCUACAAUAGCCUCAUUUCUUCAGCUUUCAAAACUGUGCUGCAUGUUUGUUGAGAUUAUGAAUGGUCUGAGCUUGGGAGGUGCUAAUCUGAAAUGGGCAAUGUUUGGUGCCCAUUGGAAAGCUAACCUUGUUAACUAGGUUGAAUCUCAAGUUCAACUUCUCAAGCGAAAGUAAGCAAAGAGGUGAUCAGCGGCAUCUGCAUUUUUUAUUCUUCUCUGUUUAUCCUAAGGUUCAAAGGUUAGUAAGAUUAUGAAAGUAAAUUAGUUUGAUUUAGUUAAGAGUGAAUCAGUUUGAUUUAUUUAUUUUUUGGGUUUGGUUUAAUUGUAAA
This 596-nucleotide unclassified non-coding RNA is filed under the name Hevea brasiliensis (rubber tree). The record is from RNAcentral. Lineage: Eukaryota; Viridiplantae; Streptophyta; Magnoliopsida; Malpighiales; Euphorbiaceae.